This 550-nucleotide ribosomal RNA is filed under the name uncultured bacterium. Its description in RNAcentral is "bacterial SSU rRNA". It matches the Rfam family "Bacterial small subunit ribosomal RNA", at positions 355 to 896 of the family's 1533-position model. The record is from RNAcentral.
UGGGGAAUAUUGGACAAUGGGCGCAAGCCUGAUCCAGCCAUACCGCGUGGGUGAAGAAGGCCUUCGGGUUGUAAAGCCCUUUUGUUGGGAAAGAAAUCCAGCCGGCUAAUACCUGGUUGGGAUGACGGUACCCAAAGAAUAAGCACCGGCUAACUUCGUGCCAGCAGCCGCGGUAAUACGAAGGGUGCAAGCGUUACUCGGAAUUACUGGGCGUAAAGCGUGCGUAGGUGGUCGUUUAAGUCCGUUGUGAAAGCCUUGGGCUCAACCUGGGAACUGCAGUGGAUACUGGGCGACUAGAGUGUGGUAGAGGGUAGCGGAAUUCCUGGUGUAGCAGUGAAAUGCGUAGAGAUCAGGAGGAACAUCCAUGGCGAAGGCAGCUACCUGGACCAACACUGACACUGAGGCACGAAAGCGUGGGGAGCAAACAGGAUUAGAUACCCUGGUAGUCCACGCCUUAAACGAUGCGAACUGGAUGUUGGGUGCAAUUUGGCACGCAGUAUCGAAGCUAACGCGUUAAGUUCGCCGCCUGGGGAGUACGGUCGCAAGACUG